CUACGGGUCGCUCCAGUGGGGAAUAUUGGACAAUGGGGGAAACCCUGAUCCAGCAAUGCCGCGUGUGUGAAGAAGGCCUGCGGGUUGUAAAGCACUUUCGGUUGGGAGGACUGCUUCUAGCACUAAUAUUGUUGGAAGUUGACGUUACCUUCAGAAGAAGCACCGGCUAACUCCGUGCCAGCAGCCGCGUUAAUACGGAGGGUGCAAGCGUUAAUCGGAAUUACUGGGCGUAAAGCGCGCGUAGGCGGCUAGAUCAGUCGGGUGUGAAAGCCCCGGGCUUAACCUGGGAACUGCAUCCGAUACUGUCUAGCUUGAGUACAGGAGAGGAGAGUGGAAUUCCACAUGUAGCGGUGAAAUGCGUGGAUAUGUGGAGGAACACCAAUGGCGAAGGCAGCUCUCUGGCCUGAUACUGACGCUGAGGUGCGAAAGCGUGGGGAGCAAACAGGAUUAGAUACCCCUGUAGUC
This 465-nucleotide ribosomal RNA is filed under the name uncultured bacterium. RNAcentral describes it as "partial 16S ribosomal RNA". It matches the Rfam family "Bacterial small subunit ribosomal RNA", at positions 339 to 795 of the family's 1533-position model. The record is from RNAcentral.